This 763-nucleotide long non-coding RNA is filed under the name Homo sapiens (human). RNAcentral's name for it is "novel transcript". The record is from RNAcentral. Lineage: Eukaryota; Metazoa; Chordata; Mammalia; Primates; Hominidae.
GCGUUCUUAGCUGGGACGUCGAGUUCUCCCAGGAUAAUUAUCGACCAGCUGCCAUGUAAGACGUGCCUUUCAGCUUCCACCAUGAUUGUGAGGUCUCUCCAGCCACAUGUAACUGAAGGAGUAGCCACUAUUCAUGCCAUUGUCAAAACCUCAUGGCAACAAAACUUCCAGGGCUGGAAUUGCAAAGAUGAUUACAAAGGGGAGCUCCACAAUCAGCUAGAGUCAGAUGAUUAUAAGUCCCUGGAAUGAUGAUGCCACAAGAUGGAAGGAGUCUAGCUACAUGAUUCAUUGCAUGGGUGUUCCAAGAUAAUGAAUACUUCCAUAGCAACAAAAGUCUGACAAUAAACGGUUACCUUGAUUUUCACAUUUUCAAAGAAAAAUCCCUCAAUGGCAACUAGACCAGAAGUCUCAACACUGAAUAUGCAAUAAUGGCUACAAGGUGAACAGUUUUUCUAUUCCAUUUUCUUAGCAACAUCAUUGAUUGAUUUUCUUGGAAAGGAAGUUAGAUUGGAUUAGAUGAUCUUUUUGUUUCAGUCAUGUAGCUUGUUAUUAGCAAUUAAUAUAUGCAGUAGCUUUUGAAACAACAUAAGUAAUAAGUGACUUCAGUAGAAAUUCAUUAUAUUCUAACACAAAUGAUUUAUAAAUGCAAUUUUAUUUUAAAAUUUCUAUCCUUUCUGUCUCCCUGAUUAUAAUUGUCAAAGUAUUCUGAUAGUAGAAAGUGUGUAUGACUGAAAAAAUGGUAUAAAAUAUUUCAGAUAUAGUA